CUUUGAUAUUAGGUAAAAUUUGGUUGUACUUUAAGUUUAUAUAAUUUUUUUUUUAAAAAAUCGUCAUAGACUCAGGGCCUCUCAACUCUCUUCCUCCCUCGUAUUUCUCGGUUUCUCCAUCAAGCUUGAUGGAGCUUCUCGCUCUCGGUGCUCCACCGCUAUCCCCUUCUCCCUCCCGGUGCGACAGUGUAGCCCCCACCUACCGCAACCUACCCCUAUCGCAACCCGUGCUCCCAUAAGGAGUCAGCACUGAUUAUCGCUCCACCGCCACGCUCACCAAUCCUCCGUCGAACCCACCGAUCCACGACCAACCGCCACACCUUGAUCUCCGCAGCACCGCUACGCCGUCACUUCACUAUAUAGUUGUUAUAACAAGCCCAUGAGGUCCAGAAGUAUAGAAACUAGAAGAGGUAGAAGACCCCCAAAUCAAAGACGAUGAAGUUUUGAUCAAAUUUGAAGCAACUACACUUAAUCAAGCAGCUAUCAUUUAGAGGAAGGGCUCUUUGGAACUAUCCUGCUCUAGAAUUGAAUGUUAUGGAACUAUCCUUCUAUUUGGCAACAAUGUCACUCGCUAGAGAGUUGGUGAUCAGUCAGGUGAUCGGGUGCUCUUUCUCUACUCAGGUGCUCAGGUACUUGAAUCUGCAAUCAGGUGGGAUCAUAAUUUCUGCCUAACUAAGGUAUGAACCUCUUAAACCUGUAUCCUAAUCAAUGAAAGUGCCCAGUAGAGGUCCUAUGACAUGCAUAAGUCUACACAACAAAGGUUUAUGCAUUUGGCAGAUUGUGCUGACGAUGAUGUAGCCUCGAAGAAUUUGUCGCAGACAGUAGCUAAAAAACUGGUUCUGCUAUAGAUUGUGAUGAUGAUAUAGCCUGAUUCUGCUCUGAGUCAAAGCCUGCUUUUCCGAGUCUAUAUCAUUUUAGCAUGUUACUUUGACAUCCGUUUAAUGAGUAUCUACUAAAACAUGUUACUUGGACAUCCGUUUAAUAAGUAUUCAUUUCAUGAAAAGCAGUAAACGAAAUUGAAUUCAUUAUGACGCAUAUAAGGUUUCAAACUUUGGUCACUUGAUUAAUUUCUUUACAAUAUUUUAUGUUUGAUUUUAUACAGCUUUUUUUAACGUUGGACUCACUAAAGAACUCGAUAUUUGUCAAAUUCACAAUAUCACUGCCUUAUAUUUAUACACCCACAUAUCUUUCUAUUGGCUGUUUAUACAAUUCCCUAGCACAUUUUCAAAUAAGUUUUUUUUUUUUUUUUUUUUUUUUUGCUCUAUGCCGUAUAUAAAUGAAUCAUUAUUUUACUCUCACAAGCAAUAUUUUGGACCUACCGUUAUCUUCUCUCAUUAAUAUUAAACAACCAAAAAUUAAUAAAGUGAGCAUACAUCAUGGGGCAAAAGGGUAGGGGGGAGUAUUAUUAUUAAGUAGAUGUUUUAUGUACAUUUAUAGAUUCAACAACUCUAAACAAAACAGAAGAUGAAAAGGAAUAGAGAAUUAGAGAUAAGCUAAUAGGAGUAUUAGUAUUACGGAUUACUUCUCAUUUUUGCUUGGGCCUAUGCGGCGUUAUCUGAAUUAAUAUCUGAUGUAUGUCAUACUUGAGCCCUGCCAGAGUUUUAGUGGAUACUUAUUAAACAGAUGCCCAUGUGUUACUUGGGCAUCAUGAUCGUGAUUGUGAUAUAGACUUUGGCAGAGACAGUAGCUUAAAUGCAUAGAAGAAUUUGGUAGAGGUAGUAGCUAAAAAACUAGUUUGUGAUGGUUUUAUUUAUGUCUUUUCUGGAGUUUAUGUGACCUACAGGUACAACCUACUGGAUGGGUGCCAUCAAGGAAAGUACUUUUGAUUGUGUGAGAUUACUAAGGCUUCCUUCAGUUGGAGCCUAUUGGAUGUCUGCUGCUCUUAGUGUUGUGCGCUGCUUUCAUUGCUGUCUGCUGCUACUGUUAGUUGCUGGUCUGGUUUGCUGAUGCGUGCUGCUUUCACUGCUGUCUGCUGCAAUCUUUUGUUACUGCUAGCUACUGCAAUAUUUUGUUACUGCUAGCUACUGCAAUAUUUUGUUACUGCUAGCGGUCUAGUCUAGAGACCGAAGUUCAUGACUUUCUUUUUGUUUUGUUUAUUAGAUUACUUAGCCAAACAAAAAAAAUUGGUGUUGAUUGGAUUUUUUGUA
Long non-coding RNA from Chenopodium quinoa (quinoa), 2147 nucleotides. RefSeq lists it as uncharacterized. The transcript has 3 exons. Lineage: Eukaryota; Viridiplantae; Streptophyta; Magnoliopsida; Caryophyllales; Amaranthaceae. The record is from RefSeq and is a predicted model, not a curated record.